This 253-nucleotide ribosomal RNA is filed under the name uncultured bacterium. Its description in RNAcentral is "partial 16S ribosomal RNA". It matches the Rfam family "Bacterial small subunit ribosomal RNA", at positions 524 to 776 of the family's 1533-position model. The record is from RNAcentral.
UACGGAGGGUGCAAGCGUUAAUCGGAAUUACUGGGCGUAAAGCGCACGCAGGCGGUUGGAUAAGUUAGAUGUGAAAGCCCCGGGCUCAACCUGGGAAUUGCAUUUAAAACUGUCCGGCUAGAGUCUUGUAGAGGGGGGUAGAAUUCCAGGUGUAGCGGUGAAAUGCGUAGAGAUCUGGAGGAAUACCGGUGGCGAAGGCGGCCCCCUGGACAAAGACUGACGCUCAGGUGCGAAAGCGUGGGGAGCAAACAGG